This 429-nucleotide ribosomal RNA is filed under the name Bacteroidota bacterium. RNAcentral's name for it is "Bacteroidetes bacterium partial 16S ribosomal RNA". It matches the Rfam family "Bacterial small subunit ribosomal RNA", at positions 355 to 776 of the family's 1533-position model. Lineage: Bacteria; Pseudomonadati; Bacteroidota. The record is from RNAcentral.
UAGGGAAUCUUCCGCAAUGGACGCAAGUCUGACGGAGCAACGCCGCGUGAGUGAAGAAGGAUUUCGGUUCGUAAAACUCUGUUGUUAGAGAAGAACAGCGCAUAGAGUAACUGUUAUGCGUGUGACGGUAUCUAACCAGAAAGCCACGGCUAACUACGUGCCAGCAGCCGCGGUAAUACGUAGGUGGCAAGCGUUGUCCGGAUUUAUUGGGCGUAAAGCGAGCGCAGGCGGUCAAUUAAGUCUGAUGUGAAAGCCCCCGGCUCAACCGGGGAGGGUCAUUGGCAACUGGUUGACUUGAGUGCAGAAGAGGAGAGUGGAAUUCCAUGUGUAGCGGUGAAAUGCGUAGUUAUAUGGAGGAACACCAGUUGCGAAGGCGACUCUCUGGUCUGUAACUGACGCUGAGGCUCGAAAGCGUGGGUAGCAAACAGG